RNAcentral lists this long non-coding RNA (1720 nucleotides) under Vulpes vulpes (red fox). RNAcentral's name for it is "lncRNA (ENSVVUG00000009122.1)". The record is from RNAcentral. Lineage: Eukaryota; Metazoa; Chordata; Mammalia; Carnivora; Canidae.
GAACAUUUUAAAUUCUAAAAUUUGUUAGCCUCGUUGGAAUUGAAAGUUCUGUAUGUUAGUUAGGAACAACGUAAUUUAAUGUCUAGAAUAACAUAUUUUUACUCUAGUGUUACAUGACUUUAUAGAUGGUACAAAGAUCUUUGUGUGGUAUAACAAGAAAAUUCUAAAACUAUUAGUUCUGUAACUACUUUAAACUUAAAUUAUCUAAACUUCUGACAGUUACCACAGGAAACAUUUAAAAGUAAUCCUAGAAAGUGCAAAAUGUGUCAAGUUUGAUAUAUGUUAAAAGAAAAGCUUCAUUUCUUCUUAAACUAAUUGACAAUAAAGAGUUACCUGUCUAUCUGUCUUUGUCUAACAUUUUCCAGCUGGAUAAAUUCAAUUAUUACUAAACUUGACAAAAAGCAAUGAUAUUAUUAAUGAAAUUAACACAUGAUGUUAAAUUUUUACCACAAUAUUCCAGUGAUUUUUAAUUAAGUGCAUGUAAUUAGAGAUAAGAGGAGUUCAUAGGUGAGAAUGUGAAUUAUUCGAGUUUGUUAUUCUUAUUUUUGAUAGAAUAGCAACCUAUCAUUUGCACAUUUCAAAAGUUAAAUAUUAUCAUGUUUCUAGAUUAUUACCUACAAUUUAAGUAUACCUCUGUCCUUCUCAGGAAACUCAUUUGUUACACUUAACAGGGCCAUUACAUUUAUAUGUGUCAAACAUGGAGUGUCAAAGGUCAAAGAGUCCUCUAAAACCUUGACAGCAUUUAGGUAGGUAGGUAGGUGGGUGGGUGGGUAGAUAGAUAGACAGACAGACAUGAACAUGGAUACUAUGACAUUAAGUGAAUUACAAAAUUAUUAUAAUCUUUAUGCUAUAUAGACACACAAAAAUAUAUUUAAAAAUAGCACAUAUAUUUAAGAUGAGGGUUUUAAAUAGAAUGGAAAAGUUCCGUUUGAUUCAGUUCAACAAACAACUAUGAAUUUUAUCUUAUGUGUUUGGCUCUGUAUCAGGUCCCAGAUAUCCAUAUGUCAAGUUCCUGCUUCAAGGACUGAAGCUGUCAAAAAGCAAUUAAAAACCCACCUCAGGCAUCAUCAACAUGGAGUUCUCAAGUCCAUAUGGCUCCUCACAGUGAACCAGGUCUUAAGGAAAAUGCAGAGGUGCCACAGCAGGAACACGGACAGCGGUCCACCUGAGAGAGAUAGCAGCCAAGCACUCAGCUCCCCGUUCUCAACAGCCCUACAGCAGCCUCAUGCUCCUGAAGCCCAACCUGGAGACACUGGACGACUUCUUUGACCUGCUGUGGAUUGUGGGCAUCGCUGACUUUGUGCUGGAGUAGGUCACCCUCGCCCUUGAGUGCCUCACCGUGGCCCUGCCCACCACCACCCUGGCCUCGAGUCCAAGGGAAGACCGCCUGAUGACACGGGGAGAAGGCAGCAUCUGUAAGCCAAGGAGCGAGGUCUGGGAAGAAACCAACCUUGAGGACACCUCCAUCUCAGGCUCCCGGCCUCCAGAACUGGGAGGAAAUACAUGUCUGUCGUUGUGCCCCCCAGUCUGUGGCACUUUGUGAUGGCAGCCCUAGAAGACUAAUACAUCCACACACCGGUUUCCCCACACUUCUGUCCUUUUAAACUCCUUUUAUUUUGAGGAGUUAGUUUUGGGUAAAUAAUAUUGUAAUAUUGCAACAAAGGAGACAUAAUAUUCCCCUUUUUAAAUCAAAGCAUCAACUAUUUAAAAUGCAUAAUUA